GGGCCUACUUCAAAGAUAUUUUAUUCCGUACCUGAAAAGUAGCAGUUGCGUCACCAUUGGCCACUUCUGUAAUAUACUGAGACGACGUGUUCAUCCCGAGAAAGAAAGUCAUAGUGUUAAAUACUUCGUUAUUGACCAGAAGGAAUGCACAGUGAAUGUCGCACAUUUACUACCUACAUUUGUGUCGUUAUGGUGGCUUGCUUAGCUCAUGGGCUGUGAUGUCUGUGAACGAGGAACAAUAAGUGUUUUCACCAAUUCAUACUGCUCUACAGAUCGCUAAAUCGUGUAUUGACAAAAGAGCAUAGUAGUAGGCGUGCCUCAAUGCACUUUCGUAAAAACAUCUAGCAACAGGGUUUUGGAGAUGUGUAACAAACGAAAUAGGUUCAGUAAGAGCUGCUAGUACGUGUAUUUUUCACUAAGUGCAUUAUUCGAUAUCGGAGAAUAGAAGACUCGUCAUCAGUGGUACGCACGUCAGAGAAAACGUAGGCCUAUACAAGACUAUAGUUCUGGACAAUUUGAAAACCAUUUCAAAAAGAAGAAACGGAUGAAAUGUGUGCUAAGCCAGACACCAUGAAGUGACUGUAAUGGCAGAGAUGAAGGUUGAGAGAGGGAGUUUUGUGAGCAACCUGCGCAUGCUGGUGGAAGCUUAAAAUGACGCAGACGUGACUCUGGCACCCAGGGGCUCGGAGCAGUCAGCACGCAGUCACAUCUUGGCAGGGAGGAGCCCAGUCUUCGACGCCAUGUUGUGUUUCUUGCAUGUCACUUCACAACAUGGCAGCGAAGACGGGGCUUCUUGCUGGCAUGUCGCAGAUUGAGAUGCAAGAAGCAUGCAGCCACUUCGCAGAGGUAACUGACAUGAGAGAAGCUCCCUUACAGCAGUUGUGAAACAGUCCCUAACCAUGCUGUAGCCUGCAUUAUAGUCCAACAACACUGUGGACUGAACUGUCCAAAAUAACAGCAAGUGUGUUACAUUGGGAUAUGGAGUAUCUUGCGUGGAUUAUUUUGUCAUCUCUUGACCCUGAAUAUUUAUAAAAGAACCAACUUGCGAUAAUAAAAAACUACACAUCUUUGAUUAAUUGCAGCUAAAGGAUAAUUUGAAACAUAAUACAAAAAACUAAAAUCAUAAUGUCAAUCGGAUUCAUUUAGGACUAAUAAUUUUUCAUAUUUCCCUUUGUGAUAUCAUACACUGAAGAGCCAAAGAAGUUGGUACACCUGCUUAAUAUCUUUCAGGGCUCUUGAGAGCAUUGAAAUGCGCUGCAUUGUGAUAUGGCGUGGACUACACUAACGUCUGUAGUAAUGCUAGACAGAACUGACACAAUGAAUGUUGCAGGGCUGUCCAUAAAUCCAUAGGAGGGUAAGGGGUGGAGAUCUCUUCUGAACAGCACGUUGCAAGGCAUCCCAGAUAUGCUCAAUAAUGUUCAUCUUUGAGAAAUUUGAUGGCCAACAGAAGUGUUUAAACUUGGAAGAGUGUUCCUGGAGCCAAUCUAGCAAUUCUGUUUGUGUGGGGUGUCACAUUGUCCUGAUGGAACUGCUCAAGUCUAUCGGAAUGCACAAUAGACACAAAUGGAUGCAGAUAAUCAGACAGGAUGCUUACUUACAUGUCACCUGUUAUAAUUGAUGCACCGGGGGUCCCACAUCACUUCAACUGCAUAUGCCCCACACCAUUAGAGAGCCUCCAUCAGCUUGAACAAUCCCCUGCUGACAUGCAGGAUCCAUGGUUUCAUGAGGUUGUCUCCAUACACGUCCAUGAGAUCGAUACGAUUUGAAACCAGACUCGUCCAACUAGGCAACGUGUUUCCAGUCAUAAUCAGUCUGUCAGUGUUGUCGGGGACCAGGCAAGCGUGAAGCUUUGUUGAGAGACCAGCAUUGAAAUCUGCAGCAGCACCGUGAGCAAACAAGAGCGAAGCUGUGUGCAGGUGUAGAUAUACCUGCAGUUGUGGGGAGUGAGAAAUGUUUCUUUUUUUCUUUGUCUUCCUGUGCUGACAGGCGUGUAUGCCUCAUACAGAUCAGCUGUUAUUGUAUAAAUUUGAAAUGGAAGUAACAUUAGUUCGCCAUUGUGCAUUACAGAGGCUGUCCCCUUCGAAUGUGAUACAUACUUGUAGCAGGGAAUAUGAAAUCAAUUUGACACUAUUCUGAUACAUUAUUAUAUAUGUAUGUAUGUUUGUUUGUUUGUUUUAAUCUUUAUUAUUUGUAUAUGCAAUAUCAUGUUUUCUGCAAGCAUCAUCUAGAGGAUUUAUUCCUUGAACGCCUUCAGCUAAUCUUUUUUCUGAUUUUGUUCCUGGACCACAACUGUUACGACCAGAGGGAUGCAUUUCGAAUGGUAAUUUAUUAAGGUAUUAACUAAUACUUUUCCCUAUUAUUCAUUUUUCUAAAAUGUGUGUGACAAGUUACUCAAAAAUGUAAUCAAAUAUGGAAUUCCUUUUGGAUUGUUGAUAAUAAAGACACUAAAUCUAUUUCUUAA
Long non-coding RNA from Schistocerca gregaria, 2461 nucleotides. RefSeq lists it as uncharacterized. NCBI's taxonomy places the organism in Eukaryota, Metazoa, Arthropoda, Insecta, Orthoptera, Acrididae. The transcript is spliced from 3 exons. The record is from RefSeq and is a predicted model, not a curated record.